Molecule: long non-coding RNA, 1269 nt
Organism: Hypanus sabinus (Atlantic stingray)
Lineage: Eukaryota; Metazoa; Chordata; Chondrichthyes; Myliobatiformes; Dasyatidae
Exons: 2
Source: RefSeq, a predicted model, not a curated record
AAGAACUUAGCCAUCUUCUCUGGCAUCGCAAGAAGCAAAACAAAACAAUUCCCAGACGCGGAGCGAGUCAGUAGCGGGGCCAACAACGGCAAACUAUUCGCACAAGGCACCAGUCCCUGACACGGAGAGACCCACACAGAUUUCUGGCAUCUUUAACUAUCUUUGAUUUUCCAUUCUGAACAAAGAUAUUCAACCUGGAACAUCAGCUCUGUUUCUCUUCCUGCAGGCUGACCUGCUGAAUAUUUAAAAUGUCUUCAAUCUUAACUAAAUUCGUAGAGUCACUCAAUACAGAAAAAGACUCCCGGGCUCAUCAAGUCUAUGCCAGCUAUUGACACCAGUCCUGCUGUACUGUAUUACUACCAUCCCCUUUGCUGAUUACAAGAUAAAAAUAAAUGUGUAAUGAAACUCUCCUGCAAAAGCUCUCUGCAUCCAAUCAAUGGCAAUUGUGCUGUUCCUGUCAGAUAAUGGCAUUAAACCAUCAUGCUGAUUAGCUGAUGAAGCAAUAUAACAUGCCUGUUAUUCCAAGUAAGGUUAAAUUAUUUUGGUUUGUUACAAAUUACUUAAGUAUUUAAAUGAUUUAUAAACAAAGGAAGCCCUCAUGAUAAAUGCUUUGAUAGUUAGAAAUAAUUUAAUGUGUACUCACAUUUUUCUCAUUAAAUAGUAUUAAUAUUGGUAAAAUGCUUGCUAUUUUGGAGCUAAGAGUACCUCCCACCCCACUAGAUAACAAUGGAAGUGAGAAAUUGCGUUAUUUGUUUGUACACACAGUGUCCCCUUUAUUGGGUAUCUCCUGUACCUAAUAAAAUGGCCACUGAGUGUAUGUUUGUGGUCUUCUUCUGCUGUAGUCUAUCCACUUCAAUGUGCUGUGUGUCCAGAGGUAACUGUUGCCUUCCUGUCAGUUUGAACCAGCCUUGCCGUUCUCCUCUGACUUCUCUCAUUUACGAGGCGUUUUUGCCCACUGUACUGCUGCUUACUGGAUUAUUUUUUUUUUUGUUUUUGCGCCUUUCUCUGCAAAAAACUAGAGACUGUCGUGUAUGAAAAUCCCAGGAGAUUAGCAGUUUCUGAGGUACUCAAACCACCCUGUCAAGCGCCGUGGUCAAGGUAGAUCACAUUGGUCACCUUUGUUCACCAUUCUGAUGUUUUGUUAAGCAACAACUGAACCUCUUGACCAUGUCUGCAUGUUUCUAUGCAUUGGGUUGGUGCCACUUUAUUGGCUGAUUAGAUAUUUGCAUUAACAGACAGCUGUACCUAAUAAAGUGGCCUCUGAGCAUA